AGAGUUUGAUCCUGGCUCAGGAUGAACGCUGGCGGCGUGCCUAAUACAUGCAAGUCGAACGGAGGCAGCAAUGCCUUAGUGGCGACCGGGUGCGUAACACGUAGCUGACCUGCCCCUCAGCGGGGGACAACUGUUGGAAACGACAGCUAAUACCGCAUGUGGUUGGAGGAACUAGAACACUCCACCCAAACUUACGGGGCUGAGGGAGGGGGCUGCGGCCCAUCAGGUAGUUGGUGAGGUAACGGCUCACCAAGCCAACGACGGGUAGGGGGCCUGAGAGGGUGGUCCCCCACACUGGGACUGACAACGGCCCAGACUCCUACGGGAGGCAGCAGUAAGGGAUAUUGCGCAAUGGGCGAAAGCCUGACGCAGCAACGCCGCGUGGAGGAAGAAGGCCUUCGGGUCGUAAACUCGUUUUUGACGCCGACGAGCAAGGACGGUAAGCGUCGAAUAAGUCACGGCUAACUACGUGCCAGCAGCCGCGGUAAAACGUAGGUGGCGAGCGUUAUCCGGAUUUACUGGGCGUAAAGGGUGUGCAGGCGGGUCGUCAAGUGGUGUAUGAAACCGCCCGGCUUAACCGGGCGCAGGUAGGCCUGACUGACGACCUAGAGGACGAGAGAGGGGCGUGGAAUUCCGGGUGUAGUGGUGAAAUGCGUAGAGAUCCGGAAGAACCCCAGAGGCGAAGGCGGCGCCCUGGCUCGUCCCUGACGCUCAGACACGACAGCAUGGGGAGCGAACGGGAUUAGAAACCCCGGUAGUCCAUGCCGUAAACGAUGCCAACUAGGCGCUGACGGUCUCAACCCCGCCGGUGCCGCAGCUAACGCGUUAAGUUGGCCGCCUGGGGAGUACGGUCGCAAGGCUAAAACUCAAAGGAAUUGACGGGGGCCCGCACAAGCAGCGGAGCGUGUGGUUUAAUUCGAGGCUACACGAAGAACCUUACCUGGGUUUGACAUGGCUGUGCACGACGGUGAAAGCCGAAGGGUCGCAAGACACAGUCACAGGUGCUGCAUGGCUGUCGUCAGCUCGUGCCGUGAGGUGUUAGGUUUAGUCCUGUAACGAGCGCAACCCCUGGGUCCAGUUACAUGUGUCUGGACCGACUGCCCGUGACAAGCGGGAGGAAGGUGGGGAUGACGUCAAGUCAGCAUGGCCUUUAUAUCCAGGGCUACACACACGCUACAAUGGCCGGUACAAUGGGUCGCCAAGCCGCAAGGCGGAGCCAAUCCAGUCAAAGCCGGUCACAGUUCGGAUUGUGGGCUGCAACCCGCCCACAUGAAGUCGGAGUUGCUAGUAACCGCCGGUCAGCUAUACGGCGGUGAAUACGUUCCCGGGCCUUGUACACACCGCCCGUCACGUCAUGGGAGCUGGUCACGCCUGAAGUCAGUGGGCUAACCGCAAGGACGCCGCUGUCCAAGGCAGGGCCGGUGACUGGGACGAAGUCGUAACAAGGUA
This 1449-nucleotide ribosomal RNA is filed under the name metagenome. Its description in RNAcentral is "bacterial SSU rRNA". It matches the Rfam family "Bacterial small subunit ribosomal RNA". The record is from RNAcentral.